GUAUGAUAAGGUCCCCAAGUGUCCACAUGAAUCAGUUGAAAGGGUCUAGAAGUCUUAAUGAAACUAUCAGGAAAUGGAAGCCUAGUCUGUCUGGGCAUAGGACAGACUGAACAUGGAAAAGGCUGUUUGGAAGCAAAUGGGAAAGACAAACCAGAAAUACAUUUCAUAUUUGUAAAAAGGAGUAUGAGCAAUGCUUAAGUGCCAAAUGUAAUUCAUGUCAGAUGUAAGAUCA
RNAcentral lists this long non-coding RNA (232 nucleotides) under Nicotiana benthamiana. RNAcentral's name for it is "long non-coding RNA (NBEN_LNC001384)". The record is from RNAcentral. Lineage: Eukaryota; Viridiplantae; Streptophyta; Magnoliopsida; Solanales; Solanaceae.